This 278-nucleotide unclassified non-coding RNA is filed under the name Bombus terrestris (buff-tailed bumblebee). RNAcentral's name for it is "misc RNA ENSBTSG00005028779.1". Lineage: Eukaryota; Metazoa; Arthropoda; Insecta; Hymenoptera; Apidae. The record is from RNAcentral.
UACGACUACAAUUUUAACUAAUCAAAAAUGACCACUUACACAUUACAAAAAUAGACAAAGAUAAACACUAUGAAUCACGUAAACAUGAGAACACCAAAAUCGAAAUUUAUAGUCGUAUAAACAGGUUCAAAACGAGAGAGGAUCGAACGAUGAUUGCUUCUCCUGGGCUACGGUCGGCGGUCAAGUCGACGUCGCUCACUGCACAGGCGUCGAUCGAUAGAAACAAGAAAAGCCACCCUUGCAACUUGCGAACUCUACCCAGGGAUACAGGACACACA